RNAcentral lists this ribosomal RNA (256 nucleotides) under uncultured Gammaproteobacteria bacterium. RNAcentral describes it as "partial 16S ribosomal RNA". It matches the Rfam family "Bacterial small subunit ribosomal RNA", at positions 597 to 826 of the family's 1533-position model. Lineage: Bacteria; Pseudomonadati; Pseudomonadota; Gammaproteobacteria. The record is from RNAcentral.
AAAUACGCACUCCGCGCGUCCUUACCGCGGUGAGUAAGCCAUUUGAAACUGCUAUGUAGGCUUGAAGUCUAAGGAGAGGGAAGAGCUGGAAUUCCUGGUGUAGGCAGGUGAAAUCGCGUAGAUAUCAGGAGAGAACAUCAGUGGCGAAGGCGGACCUUCUGGACWKACAUUGACGCUGAGGURCGAAAGYGUGGGGAGCAAACAGGAUUAGACACCCUGGUAGUCCACRCCGUAAACGAUGAACACUAGAUGCCGG